RNAcentral lists this transfer RNA (69 nucleotides) under Bos indicus (zebu cattle). RNAcentral describes it as "tRNA-Met". It matches the Rfam family "tRNA". From Rfam's summary of the family: Transfer RNA (tRNA) molecules are approximately 80 nucleotides in length. Their secondary structure includes four short double-helical elements and three loops (D, anti-codon, and T loops). The record is from RNAcentral. Lineage: Eukaryota; Metazoa; Chordata; Mammalia; Artiodactyla; Bovidae.
AGUAAGGUCAGCUAAUUAAGCUAUCGGGCCCAUACCCCAAAAAUGUUGGUUUAUAUCCUACCCGUACUA